UACGAAGGGGGCUAGCGUUGCUCGGAAUCACUGGGCGUAAAGGGUGCGUAGGCGGGUCUUUAAGUCAGGGGUGAAAUCCUGGAGCUCAACUCCAGAAUUGCCUUCGAUACUGUAGAGCUUGAGACCGGAAGAGGUAAGUGGAACUGCGAGUGUAGAGGUGAAAUUCGUAGAUAUUCGCAAGAACACCAGUGGCGAAGGCGGCUUACUGGUCCGGUUCUGACGCUGAGGCGCGAAAGCGUGGGGAGCAAACAGG
Molecule: ribosomal RNA, 253 nt
Filed under: uncultured bacterium
Lineage: Bacteria
Description: partial 16S ribosomal RNA
Rfam family: Bacterial small subunit ribosomal RNA
Source: RNAcentral